Molecule: ribosomal RNA, 253 nt
Filed under: uncultured bacterium
Lineage: Bacteria
Description: partial 16S ribosomal RNA
Rfam family: Bacterial small subunit ribosomal RNA
Source: RNAcentral
UACAGAGGGGGCAAGCGUUGUUCGGAAUUACUGGGCGUAAAGGGCGCGUAGGCGGCCAACUAAGUCAGACGUGAAAUCCCCAGGCUCAACCUGGGAACUGCGUCUGAUACUGAUUGGCUUGAGUUCGGGAGAGGGAAGUGGAAUUCCAGGUGUAGCGGUGAAAUGCGUAGAUAUCUGGAGGAACACCGGUGGCGAAGGCGGCUUCCUGGACCGACACUGACGCUGAGGCGCGAAAGCCAGGGGAGCAAACGGG